GAUGAACGCUGGCGGCGUGCCUAAUACAUGCAAGUCGAGCGAACGGACGAGAAGCUUGCUUCUCUGAUGUUAGCGGCGGACGGGUGAGUAACACGUGGAUAACCUACCUAUAAGACUGGGAUAACUUCGGGAAACCGGAGCUAAUACCGGAUAAUAUUUUGAACCGCAUGGUUCAAAAGUGAAAGACGGUCUUGCUGUCACUUAUAGAUGGAUCCGCGCUGCAUUAGCUAGUUGGUAAGGUAACGGCUUACCAAGGCAACGAUGCAUAGCCGACCUGAGAGGGUGAUCGGCCACACUGGAACUGAGACACGGUCCAGACUCCUACGGGAGGCAGCAGUAGGGAAUCUUCCGCAAUGGGCGAAAGCCUGACGGAGCAACGCCGCGUGAGUGAUGAAGGUCUUCGGAUCGUAAAACUCUGUUAUUAGGGAAGAACAUAUGUGUAAGUAACUGUGCACAUCUUGACGGUACCUAAUCAGAAAGCCACGGCUAACUACGUGCCAGCAGCCGCGGUAAUACGUAGGUGGCAAGCGUUAUCCGGAAUUAUUGGGCGUAAAGCGCGCGUAGGCGGUUUUUUAGGUCUGAUGUGAAAGCCCACGGCUCAACCGUGGAGGGUCAUUGGAAACUGGAAAACUUGAGUGCAGAAGAGGAAAGUGGAAUUCCAUGUGUAGCGGUGAAAUGCGCAGAGAUAUGGAGGAACACCAGUGGCGAAGGCGACUUUCUGGUCUGUAACUGACGCUGAUGUGCGAAAGCGUGGGGAUCAAACAGGAUUAGAUACCCUGGUAGUCCACGCCGUAAACGAUGAGUGCUAAGUGUUAGGGGGUUUCCGCCCCUUAGUGCUGCAGCUAACGCAUUAAGCACUCCGCCUGGGGAGUACGACCGCAAGGUUGAAACUCAAAGGAAUUGACGGGGACCCGCACAAGCGGUGGAGCAUGUGGUUUAAUUCGAAGCAACGCGAAGAACCUUACCAAAUCUUGACAUCCUUUGACAACUCUAGAGAUAGAGCUUUCCCCUUCGGGGGACAAAGUGACAGGUGGUGCAUGGUUGUCGUCAGCUCGUGUCGUGAGAUGUUGGGUUAAGUCCCGCAACGAGCGCAACCCUUAAGCUUAGUUGCCAUCAUUAAGUUGGGCACUCUAAGUUGACUGCCGGUGACAAACCGGAGGAAGGUGGGGAUGACGUCAAAUCAUCAUGCCCCUUAUGAUUUGGGCUACACACGUGCUACAAUGGACAAUACAAAGGGCAGCGAAACCGCGAGGUCAAGCAAAUCCCAUAAAGUUGUUCUCAGUUCGGAUUGCAGUCUGCAACUCGACUACAUGAAGCUGGAAUCGCUAGUAAUCGUAGAUCAGCAUGCUACGGUGAAUACGUUCCCGGGUCU
RNAcentral lists this ribosomal RNA (1372 nucleotides) under uncultured bacterium. RNAcentral describes it as "bacterial SSU rRNA". It matches the Rfam family "Bacterial small subunit ribosomal RNA", at positions 28 to 1381 of the family's 1533-position model. The record is from RNAcentral.